RNAcentral lists this ribosomal RNA (174 nucleotides) under bacterium rN2. Its description in RNAcentral is "partial 16S rRNA". It matches the Rfam family "Bacterial small subunit ribosomal RNA", at positions 338 to 524 of the family's 1533-position model. RNAcentral also lists the same sequence under 1 other name. The record is from RNAcentral.
CCUACGGGAGGCAGCAGUGGGGAAUAUUGGACAAUGGGCGGAAGCCUGAUCCAGCAACGCCGCGUGAGGGAUGACGGCCUUCGGGUUGUAAACCUCUUUCAGUACCGACGAAGCGAAAGUGACGGUAGGUACAGAAGAAGGACCGGCCAACUACGUGCCAGCAGCCGCGGUAAU